UCUAUUUGUGGACCAACUAGAAAUUUUCAAUGGAACAGUCACCCAUAUGUAUUUGGAAGGUUCAAUAAUAUCUCCACCUGGAUGGUCAAAGACUUGUAUUUUUACCUGGAUUUUCUCACAAUAUAACUUGGAGAUUUAAUGUGACCUCAUCCAUAAUUGCACGUGUUUGGUCCUUUAUCCCUCGUGGUGCUACUGCUGCUCAACGACGUGUAACGAUAACUGGUAAUGGUGAACCGCGAUAUGAUUCAUCACCUUUAACAUUUCAAGUUUUUGAACCUGAAACUCUGAUGUUAAAGAAUGUCAAUCAAACAGUGGUGUUUACACAUUUGCUAUCGUAGCUAAUACUGCUGACACACAACGAAAGUAAAUGUGUACAUUGCCU
Long non-coding RNA from Xenia sp. Carnegie-2017, 382 nucleotides. RefSeq lists it as uncharacterized. The record is from RefSeq and is a predicted model, not a curated record. Lineage: Eukaryota; Metazoa; Cnidaria; Anthozoa; Malacalcyonacea; Xeniidae. The transcript is spliced from 2 exons.